Molecule: ribosomal RNA, 1207 nt
Filed under: uncultured bacterium
Lineage: Bacteria
Description: bacterial SSU rRNA
Rfam family: Bacterial small subunit ribosomal RNA
Source: RNAcentral
ACCGCAUAUGCCGUGAACAUCGCAUGAUGAAAACGGGAAAAGAGCAAUCUGCUAAUAGAUGGGCUUGCGCCUGAUUUAGCUAGUUGGUGUGGUAAAGGCAUACCAAGGCAACGAUCAGUAGCCGGACUGAGAGGUUGAACGGCCACAUUGGGACUGAGAUACGGCCCAGACUCCUACGGGAGGCAGCAGUCGGGAAUAUUGCGCAAUGGAGGAAACUCUGACGCAGUGACGCCGCGUAUGGGAAGAAGGUUUUCGGAUUGUAAACCAUUUUAGACAAGGAAGAAACAAGACAGUACUUGUAGAAUAAGCUCCGGCUAACUACGUGCCAGCAGCCGCGGUAAUACGUAGGGAGCAAGCGUUAUCCGGAUUUAUUGGGUGUAAAGGGUGCGUAGACGGGAAGGUAAGUUAGUUGUGAAAUCCCUCGGCUCAACUGAGGAACUGCGACUAAAACUGCUUUUCUUGAGUACUGGAGAGGAAAGUGGAAUUCCUAGUGUAGCGGUGAAAUGCGUAGAUAUUAGGAGGAACACCAGUGGCGAAGGCGACUUUCUGGACAGUAACUGACGUUGAGGCACGAAAGUGUGGGGAGCAAACAGGAUUAGAUACCCUGGUAGUCCACACCGUAAACGAAUGGAUAAUUAGGUGUAGGGGAUAUUAAGUUUUCUGUGCCGUCGCACACGCAGUAAGUAUCCCCCUUGGGGAGUACGGCCGCAGGGGUGAAACUCAAAGGAAAUUGACGGGGGCCCGCACAAGCAGUGGAGUAUGUGGUUUAAUUUGACGCAACGCGAAGAACCUUACCAAGGCUUGACAUAUACAGGAAUAACUAAGAAAUUAGUUAGCUCUUCGGAGUCUGUAUACAGGUGGUGCAUGGUUGUCGUCAGCUCGUGUCGUGAGAUGUUGGGUUAAGUCCCGCAACGAGCGCAACCCCUAAUAUUAGUUGCCAGCGAGUAAUGUCGGGAACUCUAAUAUGACUGCCGGUGAUAAAUCGGAGGAAGGUGGGGACGACGUCAAAUCAUCAUGCCCUUUAUGUCUUGGGCUACACACGUACUACAAUGGCUAUAACAAAGAGAAGCGAGACAGUGAUGUGGAGCAAAACUCAAAAAAAUAGUCUCAGUUCGGAUUGAAGGCUGAAAUUCGCCUUCAUGAAGCUGGAAUUGCUAGUAAUGGCAGGUCAGCAUACUGCCGUGAAUACGUUCCCGGGCCUUGCACA